This is a long non-coding RNA of Galeopterus variegatus (Sunda flying lemur), 349 nucleotides long. RefSeq lists it as uncharacterized. The transcript is spliced from 2 exons. NCBI's taxonomy places the organism in Eukaryota, Metazoa, Chordata, Mammalia, Dermoptera, Cynocephalidae. The record is from RefSeq and is a predicted model, not a curated record.
CGAGCACACGGGUCGGGAAAGCGUGCCCCGGCUUUUGAGGAUGUCUCCGGUUCCCGGGGCGGAAGAACUCAGAGCUCUCUGCACAAGUCGAUGGCGGGGGCCCUUCCUGGACUUGAGCCUGCCAGUGGCAAAGAAUCCUGGACAGAUAUCAUCCACUUGGUACAGAUAAGCAACUCCGAGCCAGAACAUUCCGGCGAUUUGCUCCAGGGCCACUCCCAGUUAGUGGCUGAGUGUUAAGUACUCCAGAAACCGGGUUUACAUACACACCCAGUCACAUGAUCCUUAAAAAGCUGUUUCUAUAAUUUGGAAAACUGUUAAAUUACUCUUUAAUAAACACCAUUUAAAGAUA